This 272-nucleotide unclassified non-coding RNA is filed under the name Hevea brasiliensis (rubber tree). Lineage: Eukaryota; Viridiplantae; Streptophyta; Magnoliopsida; Malpighiales; Euphorbiaceae. The record is from RNAcentral.
GCAGUGCUCCGUCCAAGACCAAGACCCAAGCCCACAGGAAUGCUAUCUGUUUUGGACUUUGCAUGAUUAUGGUUUUGGUUAUUAUGGCAGCAAUGGGAAGAAUUGGGAUGACACUGAUGGACUUUAGUGUCUAAAUUUACAUUAAUUGCAACAUGCCCAUUGCCAUUGAUGUGAUGAGAGUGAGCAUCCCCAUUUUGUGAGUUCGAAUUCCUUGCCAUAUGCAUCAUAUCGAUCCCCUCAGAAUGUGCAGAGUCUUCAAUAUAUUCUACAUC